This 291-nucleotide ribosomal RNA is filed under the name uncultured bacterium. RNAcentral describes it as "partial 16S ribosomal RNA". It matches the Rfam family "Bacterial small subunit ribosomal RNA", at positions 773 to 1060 of the family's 1533-position model. The record is from RNAcentral.
GUGGAUUAGAUACCCUAGUAGUCCACGCCCUAAACGAUGUCUACUAGUUGUUGGUGGAGUAAAAUCCAUGAGUAACGCAGCUAACGCGUGAAGUAGACCGCCUGGGGAGUACGGUCGCAAGAUUAAAACUCAAAUGAAUUGACGGGGGCCCGCACAAGCGGUGGAUUAUGUGGAUUAAUUCGAUGCAACGCGAAAAACCUUACCUGGCCUUGACAUGUAACGAACUUUCCAGAGAUGGAUUGGUGCUCGAAAGAGAACGUUAACACAGGUGCUGCACGGCCGUCGCCAACU